GAACCACCUGAUCCCAUCCCGAACUCAGCAGUGAAACGAUGUAUCGCCGAUGGUAGUGUGGGGUUUCCCCAUGUGAGAGUAGGUC
RNAcentral lists this ribosomal RNA (85 nucleotides) under Pseudomonas syringae pv. persicae. Lineage: Bacteria; Pseudomonadati; Pseudomonadota; Gammaproteobacteria; Pseudomonadales; Pseudomonadaceae. The record is from RNAcentral.